UAGUGUGCUAUGCCAAGCAGGCAUCUGCAAUAAGUUUGGCAUUAAUAUAGUAACCACUUGGGAAGGGAAACCACCAGGUUGCCUAAGGAGGGGUGAACUGGUCCAGGUUGGAAAUGGAGCAGGUCAAAACUCCCAUGCUGAUCAGUAGCAGGAUGGCACCUGUGAAUAGCCACUGC
Molecule: unclassified non-coding RNA, 176 nt
Organism: Callithrix jacchus (white-tufted-ear marmoset)
Lineage: Eukaryota; Metazoa; Chordata; Mammalia; Primates; Cebidae
Rfam family: Metazoan signal recognition particle RNA
About the family: The signal recognition particle (SRP) is a universally conserved ribonucleoprotein. It is involved in the co-translational targeting of proteins to membranes.
Source: Ensembl